UACCGGCAGCUCGAGUGAUGGCCAAUAUUAUUGGGCCUAAAGCGUCCGUAGCUGGCCGAACAGGUCCGUCGGGAAAUCCGCUCGCUCAACGAGCGGACGUCCGGCGGAAACCAGUCGGCUUGGGACCGGAAGACCCGAGGGGUACGGCCGGGGUAGGAGUGAAAUCCUGUAAUCCUGGCCGGACCACCGGUGGCGAAAGCGCCUCGGGAGGACGGAUCCGACAGUGAGGGACGAAAGCUUGGGUCACGAACCGG
RNAcentral lists this ribosomal RNA (254 nucleotides) under uncultured bacterium. RNAcentral's name for it is "partial 16S ribosomal RNA". It matches the Rfam family "Archaeal small subunit ribosomal RNA", at positions 474 to 727 of the family's 1478-position model. The record is from RNAcentral.